ACAUCCCGGAGACCCUUAGGAAACUAGGGGUGGCUUCCAUCUGGAAGAAUCUGGAGACAGGUGCUGCAUGGCUGUCGUCAGCUCGUGUCGUGAGAUGUUGGGUUAAGUCCCGCAACGAGCGCAACCCUUGCCUUUAGUUGCCAGCAGUUCGGCUGGGCACUCUAAAGGGACUGCCGGUGUUAAACCGGAGGAAGGUGGGGAUGACGUCAAGUCCUCAUGGCCUUUAUGACCAGGGCUACACACGUACUACAAUGGCCGAUACAAAGGGCAGCGACACUGCGAGGUGAAGCCAAUCCCGUAAAAUCGGUCUCAGUCCGGAUUGGAGUCUGCAACUCGACUCCAUGAAGUUGGAAUCGCUAGUAAUCGUGGAUCAGCAUGCCACGGUGAAUACGUUCCCGGGCCUU
This 404-nucleotide ribosomal RNA is filed under the name uncultured Desulfobulbus sp. Its description in RNAcentral is "bacterial SSU rRNA". It matches the Rfam family "Bacterial small subunit ribosomal RNA", at positions 984 to 1382 of the family's 1533-position model. The record is from RNAcentral. Lineage: Bacteria; Pseudomonadati; Thermodesulfobacteriota; Desulfobulbia; Desulfobulbales; Desulfobulbaceae.